Molecule: long non-coding RNA, 827 nt
Filed under: Gouania willdenowi (blunt-snouted clingfish)
Lineage: Eukaryota; Metazoa; Chordata; Actinopteri; Blenniiformes; Gobiesocidae
Description: lncRNA (ENSGWIG00000002835.1)
Source: RNAcentral
AUACAGUAAUCUAGCAUUAGUUUGUACUGGGCUGUUAUAAAGCUGUACGUCUUAUCACCGGGUCGGAGGCAGGAAAAGGAUGAAAGACCCCCCAAUCACCUUAUUAACACUUGUGUUACACUCACAGGGACUAUGAGAAGGAUUUAUUAAGGUGAAAAAGUUACUUAGUUCUGCUUUAAAUCAAAACACCUAAAAGUAAAUGAGAUGCUAAUAAUAAAUAUAAAAAGUAGGUUCUGGAUCUAAUGAAAUAAGUGGUGGAUGUUGUUCUGAGGCCAACCCUGGGGUCAAACACAGGUUUAAUGGUGUAAAAUAGUGUAAAUGUGUGAUGUUUAAUAACAGGAUUAUUGAUCUCUCUCUCCUCCCUCUGAUUGGCUCGUAUCACUCAGGUGUUAUAAAACAUCAACUUUGGACCUGUUGCUCUCAGCUUUGGCUCCGCCCCACUUCCUUGUGUCCCAGCUUCUUGUCUGUGGUUAGUUAGUGGAGCAGGUGUGUAGUUUGGAACUGUUGUGUUUACACACUCAGAGACCAACAGCAUUUUCUUAGUUGCUCUCAAUGCUGCUGUUGCCCUUUGUUGCCUCGUUGCCCCACUUCACCUGCUGCGUUAGAGCUCACCUGUCCAUUCAGUGACACCACCUGACAGCUCAUCAUCUCAUGACGUGGAGAUGGAUCAGGACACGGUGAAGGAACAACAUGAGAUCCAGACUGAAGAUCAGAGGGAGCAGCUCACAUCUGGACCUGGACCCAGCUGUGUGUCCUUUAGAAGUGACCAGUCCAUGAUGGAACCCAUUGACUUCAAAGGAGGUCCAUCUACUGACCCACAACAUUAA